This 253-nucleotide ribosomal RNA is filed under the name uncultured bacterium. RNAcentral describes it as "partial 16S ribosomal RNA". It matches the Rfam family "Bacterial small subunit ribosomal RNA", at positions 524 to 776 of the family's 1533-position model. The record is from RNAcentral.
UACGGGGGGGGCAAGCGUUGUUCGGAAUUACUGGGCGUAAAGGGCUCGUAGGCGGCCAACUAAGUCGGAUGUGAAAUCCCCAGGCUUAACUUGGGAACUGCAUCCGAUACUGGAUGGCUUGAAUCCGGGAGAGGGAUGCGGAAUUCCAGGUGUAGCGGUGAAAUGCGUAGAUAUCUCUAGGAACACCGGUGGCGAAGGCGGCAUCCUGGACCGGCAUUGACGCUGAUGUGCGAAAGCGUGGGGAGCAAACAGG